RNAcentral lists this microRNA precursor (190 nucleotides) under Medicago truncatula (barrel medic). RNAcentral's name for it is "MIR2619 microRNA precursor family". It matches the Rfam family "MIR2619 microRNA precursor family". The record is from Rfam by way of RNAcentral. Lineage: Eukaryota; Viridiplantae; Streptophyta; Magnoliopsida; Fabales; Fabaceae.
AAACCGUCCCCUAAGUUUUGCAAUUGUAGCAGUUUUGGCCCCCCAAUGUCAAUUUUUGGUAAAAUAAAUAAAAAAAAAAACACGUGGUACCUCACUUAGGGUGCCUUAGGGUGCCACGUCAACGUAGAGCGAGUCAAAAUUGGUUUUGCGGGCCAAAACUGCCACAAAUGCAAAACUUAUGGGACUGUUU